UACGGGGGGGGCAAGCGUUGUUCGGAAUUACUGGGCGUAAAGGGCUCGUAGGCGGCCAACUAAGUCAGACGUGAAAUCCCUCGGCUCAACCGGGGAACUGCGUCUGAUACUGGAUGGCUUGAAUUCGGGAGAGGGAUGCGGAAUUCCAGGUGUAGCGGUGAAAUGCGUAGAUAUCUGGAGGAACACCGGUGGCGAAGGCGGCAUCCUGGACCGAGAUUGACGCUGAUGCGCGAAAGCCAGGGGAGCAAACGGG
This 253-nucleotide ribosomal RNA is filed under the name uncultured bacterium. Its description in RNAcentral is "partial 16S ribosomal RNA". It matches the Rfam family "Bacterial small subunit ribosomal RNA", at positions 524 to 776 of the family's 1533-position model. The record is from RNAcentral.